CUAGAUCAAGAACCGCCAAAGAAAUUGUUAAAAAUCAAUCUUCAUCUUCCAAUCAUUUGUUACAAUGUGUCUGCAUCCGUUGAUAGAGGAUGGAUGGAUUUGAGGUUGAUGUAAUAUAACACAAUUAGUGGACGAAAAGACUGCACGCACUGAUCCUUCCUUUCAAUUGUUUCACAAUUACCUUGCAGUCUUGAGCUAUCUAUGCUUUGUUCUAAUUCUUACUUAAUGCCUAAAUCCACUAUAACCACUCCCUGGUCCACUAUUAUAAUCGCCUGGCCUGUGCCAAAGCAGGAUUGAUAUGAGACAUUUCCUAGAUCUACAUGCAAUUGUGACUUUUUUCUUUGUUCAUUAGUUAGUGACAAGCUACCUUGAGCUGCAAACAUUGAACUCAUAAAUCAAGCUACAGUCCAAUUUUCCAAUGGAAUAAUCACAUGAGCAUUCUCCACUCUUUUCGCAUACUCAAUAUGACACUGCAUUAGGGCAAUAUCUAUUUCCAACACCGACUGGUGGCUAAUUCAGACCUGCAAAUGGAAUUCUGAGAAAUGACAGGCGGGAAGCUUCAGGUAGCUUCUUGCCCUAAAAGAUCAUUUCUAAAGCAGAAACUAUACAUGGAACCACACGAACGUGCAGCUUCUUUCAGCACUUAAUCCAGAAACCUCCGAAUUUCUGACAGUUAAACAACAGGAAAGCCUGCCUGCUGUCCAAUGCUCCCCCAAAAUCCAACGAAGGCCUCAAAACUAUAGAGGAGCAUAUCUGCACAUUUAAUGCACCAAUAAUAGACUUAUGCACUUUAAACUUUGUUAGAGGCGAUACAAUGUCAAAACAACAGAAAGAAGAAUCUAAAAUAACAUCUAGUUCGAGAAUUCUAAAGUCUAAAUGACAUAAUAUUUACAAUUGCCAAUAAGUCAAGCAAACAAAUGAGAGCGCACAAGAUAACAAAAAGGAGAAAGCGAAAUUGAAUGACAAGAAGUUAAUAUAAGCAAACACCUUUAUACAUACUAAAAGCAUAUGUAUGAAACAUAAAAGAUCAUAAUUGAUAAUAUCAUGGAUUGUUUUCCCAUCCGUGUUCUAAAAUUAGCUAUAUAAAAUUAGCAAGGCACGACCCAAUAAAUCGGCCACGAAAAUGCUACCCUGCACUCCUGUCUUCCUAUCUGUUGUAACUGGAAGUCAGAACGGGUAACCUUAAAUUUGGUGGGUCUGCUAAACUUAGUCAAACAGCUUCCUGCUGCCUUCAAAGCUUCAUCAAACUACAUCACCCAGGUCCAGACAACUGGAUGUAUAACAGAUACAUCCCAAACCAGCUAGAUGCUAAAUCACCUUCUGCACCCAAUAAAAAAGCCUAGUCAUGAUGAACCAGACCCCAGAGUAGCAGAACCCAACGACACAAGAUCAAUGAAACAGUAAGUAGUAAUACUACACAAUCAUAUAAGCAGCAAACCCUUAAUUACCCCCAAGCAGAAUGUCAAGCUUCUGUCAUGGAUAGCUGCCAGCCAGUAAAGUUACGUAUAUUAACAGUUAGAACUCACAAAUUUACUUAUCUCAUCCAUGACAGUAUGAAAGUGAUUGUUAUUGGGCAAUAAGUAGAAGCCAAUUGUUGCUUGCUCAAGAUAUAGAAGUUUCACCACUUGGCCAGCCUUCUUAAGCCCCUCAACAUAAGCCAAUUGCCAAUCCUGAAUAAGGUCCAAACCAGCCACCACAACAAGACUCUUAGGGAAUUUCACUCCUUUAAGGUUUUUACCUUUGGGACCAAAUGGAUUACAUGCUGGAUGAUCCCUAUCUGCCCCCUCAGGCAGGAAAGCUCGCCAAUACCAGUCCCGGUCUUGGAGAGUGACAAAAUAUUUUCCAUCUAGUCGCUUCUCUGAUUCUGUUCUCUCUUGCCCAGCAAACAUUGGGUUUAGUAGAAUAUUCCCCAAUAUGUCAAUACCUGAUUCCACUGCUCUUAAUGCAACAUGAUGUGCAAUGUUACCACCAGAGCUAUCCCCUGCCAAGUAUAUAUGAACUUUGGAAUCUUUCUUACUCUCAAGCCAUGUUCUUGAGUUAACCCACUUAAGAGCUGUCCAUCCAUCAUCAUAAGCACAAGGGUAUCGAUUUUCAGGUGCACGCCUAUAAUUCACAGAGACUACCACUGCCUUGCAAAUACCCACUAGUCGGCGGCACAACGUGUCAUAUAUAGCACUGUUUGCAGAGGAGUGUGCAAAGCUUCCACCAUGAAAGAAGAUAAUGACAGGGACAACCUCAGAGCUUACAGGCUUCUCAAGUUCAGCCAUAUUUGGUUGUGAUGGCUCCCCAUCAGUCAGUCGAUAUAUCCUGCUAAGGAGGCUAGUCCCACGGUCAAUGACAACAUCAAAAGAGAAAAUUCCAUCAACUGGUUUUGCAUUGGCUGGAACUUUCCGGUCAAGGAACUCUGCCAAGUGGCGAUUGAAAGUGCCAUCAGGGCGACGAAGAAGAUUGUAAGCCAGCUUGAAAUUGGAUAUGAGGACCCACGUGUUCAGUGGAACCACCAUCUUGCUUUCAUUGAUGUUAACUUCAUUACCCCCAGCCAUGAAACUAUGCUCUUUCAAAAUUCAAAAGCAAUAGCCAAUAACACGAAACAGAUCCUUUUAGAGACCAACCAGCUUCACAUACUGAAAACGAACAUAAAAGAAUUGAUCUUCACUCAGACUCAUGAUCGAAGAUUAUAAAACCCAAAAACGAAAGAGCAGCCUUUAAAAUUGCUAGUCUCUCCAGCUCUUUUUUCUUUCUUUCUUCUGCUUCCGAGUUUUUUUAAACAGAAAGAUCGAUAAACGAUAACAAUAAAUGGUAAAUCUCACUGCGAUAAAACUGUUUAAGAGAGAGACAACCAGAGCAGAAAUGGGCUAAGGAUAACGAAAUAGG
Molecule: unclassified non-coding RNA, 2874 nt
Filed under: Hevea brasiliensis (rubber tree)
Lineage: Eukaryota; Viridiplantae; Streptophyta; Magnoliopsida; Malpighiales; Euphorbiaceae
Source: RNAcentral